This 1360-nucleotide ribosomal RNA is filed under the name uncultured bacterium. RNAcentral's name for it is "partial 16S ribosomal RNA". It matches the Rfam family "Bacterial small subunit ribosomal RNA". The record is from RNAcentral.
AGAGUUUGAUCCUGGCUCAGGAUGAACGCUGGCGGCGUGCCUAACACAUGCAAGUCGAGCGAUCUCUUCGGAGAGAGCGGCGGACGGGUGAGUAACGCGUGGGUAACCUGCCCUGUACACACGGAUAACAUACCGAAAGGUAUGCUAAUACGGGAUAAUAUAUAAGAGUCGCAUGACUUUUAUAUCAAAGAUUUUUCGGUACAGGAUGGACCCGCGUCUGAUUAGCUUGUUGGCGGGGUAACGGCCCACCAAGGCGACGAUCAGUAGCCGACCUGAGAGGGUGAUCGGCCACAUUGGAACUGAGACACGGUCCAAACUCCUACGGGAGGCAGCAGUGGGGAAUAUUGCACAAUGGGCGCAAGCCUGAUGCAGCAACGCCGCGUGAGCGAUGAAGACCUUCGGGUCGUAAAGCUCUGUCCUCAAGGAAGAUAAUGACGGUACUUGAGGAGGAAGCCCCGGCUAACUACGUGCCAGCAGCCGCGGUAAUACGUAGGGGGCUAGCGUUAUCCGGAUUUAUUGGGCGUAAAGCGCGUCUAGGCGGUUUGGUAAGUCUGAUGUGAAAAUGCGGGGCUCAACUCCGUAUUGCGUUGGAAACUGCCAAACUAGAGUACUGGAGAGGUAGGCGGAACUACAAGUGUAGAGGUGAAAUUCGUAGAUAUUUGUAGGAAUGCCGAUGGGGAAGCCAGCCUACUGGACAGAUACUGACGCUAAAGCGCGAAAGCGUGGGUAGCAAACAGGAUUAGAUACCCUGGUAGUCCACGCCGUAAACGAUGAUUACUAGGUGUUGGGGGUCGAACCUCAGCGGCCAAGCUAACGCGAUAAGUAAUCCGCCUGGGGAGUACGUACGCAAGUAUGAAACUCAAAGGAAUUGACGGGGACCCGCACAAGCGGUGGAGCAUGUGGUUUAAUUCGACGCAACGCGAGGAACCUUACCAGCGUUUGACAUCCCAAGAAGUUAACAGAGAUGUUUUCGUGCCUCUUCGGAGGAACUUGGUGACAGGUGGUGCAUGGCUGUCGUCAGCUCGUGUCGUGAGAUGUUGGGUUAAGUCCCGCAACGAGCGCAACCCUUGUCUUUAGUUGCCAUCAUUUAGUUGGGCACUCUAGAGAGACUGCCAGGGAUAACCUGGAGGAAGGUGGGGAUGACGUCAAAUCAUCAUGCCCCUUAUGCCUAGGGCUACACACGUGCUACAAUGGGUGGUACAGAGGGCAGCCAAGCCGUGAGGUGGAGCAAAUCCCUUAAAGCCAUUCUCAGUUCGGAUUGUAGGCUGAAACUCGCCUACAUGAAGUUGGAGUUACUAGUAAUCGCAGAUCAGAAUGCUGCGGUGAAUGCGUUCCCGGGUCUUGUACACACCGCCCGUCA